RNAcentral lists this transfer RNA (75 nucleotides) under Candidatus Dojkabacteria bacterium. RNAcentral describes it as "tRNA-Glu". It matches the Rfam family "tRNA". Rfam says of the family: Transfer RNA (tRNA) molecules are approximately 80 nucleotides in length. Their secondary structure includes four short double-helical elements and three loops (D, anti-codon, and T loops). The record is from RNAcentral.
GGCCCCAUCGUCUAACGGUUAGGACGCAAGAUUCUCAAUCUUGUAAUCCGGGUUCGAUUCCCGGUGGGGUCACCA